RNAcentral lists this ribosomal RNA (274 nucleotides) under uncultured bacterium. RNAcentral describes it as "partial 16S ribosomal RNA". It matches the Rfam family "Bacterial small subunit ribosomal RNA", at positions 523 to 796 of the family's 1533-position model. The record is from RNAcentral.
AUACGGAGGGUCCGAGCGUUAUCCGGAAUCAUUGGGUUUAAAGGGUCCGUAGGCGGGAAUCUAAGUCAGUGGUGAAAUCUUGCAGCUCAACUGUAAAAUUGCCAUUGAUACUGGAUUUCUUGAAUUAGUGUGAAGUGGUUAGAAUGUGUAGUGUAGCGGUGAAAUGCAUAGAUAUUACACAGAAUACCAAUUGCGAAGGCAGAUCACUAACACUAUAUUGACGCUCAGGGACGAAAGCGUGGGGAGCGAACAGGAUUAGAUACCCCAGUAGUCC